RNAcentral lists this ribosomal RNA (253 nucleotides) under uncultured bacterium. RNAcentral's name for it is "partial 16S ribosomal RNA". It matches the Rfam family "Bacterial small subunit ribosomal RNA", at positions 524 to 776 of the family's 1533-position model. The record is from RNAcentral.
UACGGAGGUGGCAAGCGUUGCUCGGAUUUACUGGGUGUAAAGGGCAAGUAGGCGGUCUCGUAAGCCCUGCCUGAAAGGCUCUGGCUCAACCAGAGUAUGCGGCAGGGUACUGCAAGACUCGAGGAUGGAAGAGGCCAACGGAAUUCCCGGUGUAAGGGUGAAAUCUGUAGAUAUCGGGAGGAACACCAGUGGCGAAGGCGGUUGGCUGGUCCAUUUCUGACGCUGAGGUGCGAAAGCUAGGGGAGCGAACAGG